This is a long non-coding RNA of Acanthochromis polyacanthus (spiny chromis), 1457 nucleotides long. RefSeq lists it as uncharacterized. The record is from RefSeq and is a predicted model, not a curated record. The transcript is spliced from 2 exons. Lineage: Eukaryota; Metazoa; Chordata; Actinopteri; Pomacentridae.
CGGCUUAUUCUGCCACACUGAUAAGAAAAUAAACAUUAAUUUACCGAAUUAGCAGCGUCCUUUCAGUGUCUGAUGGCAGAAUCAGCCGAAGUUCCACGGUGACACGGCUUCACUUCAGCCGUGGUCGGAGCUGGCGUCAGGACAGAAGCCUGUGUGCGGAUACGACUCCCCACCCUGAAAAGGAAGCCCCGCCCAGAGCAAACUGAUUUGCAUUUUUCUAUUUCAUGGUGUCAGGCCAUUAUGAAAUAACCACCAAGAAAUAAAAUGCAAAUCAGUUUGCUUUCACUUGGUGGACUGAGCUGUCAAUCAAAUGGCUCUAGGCGGGGCUUCCUCGUCGUUCCUCAUCACAGGCAUAUGAAGAGUAGAUACGACACGCCCAUCUGAGCGGCGUCCCGACGGAGACGCUAAGCUCGCGGGGGCAAAGUUUCAGUGUUUUCCAUUGAUGUGUACGGCACGAAAAUUAAAACAAGAAGAAUGCCGGCUCAUUGUGCGGCAUACAGUUGCACACUACAUCGGACGAUCAAGACAAGGAAACUUGGAAUAACUUUCCACAGGUUUCCCAAAGACUAUGGAUUGAGGAAGAAGUGGAAGCAGCUCUGAGGAGAGAGGGGUUUGCUGCAAAUAUAUAACAGCCUAGAGAGAGAGAUAAAUAAAUAAUAAUUAUUAUUAAUAAUAAUUCUGUUGUUUAUUGUAAUUGUGGUUGUCUUUACGUUGCAUUUAUUGAGAUAAUUUGUCCUUGUUCCUUAUUACUGUAGCAUUGCUGUAACUACCUAUAAUUAUAAAUUUCUAUUCAUAUUUUCACUGUGACUUUUAUAUACGGCGAAUCGUGAUCCAUGCAGGAGUGGAUGGAUUUAGCAGGCUCAUAGUUUACAUAGGAGCAGCUGCAAACAACAAAUCCACCACUGUUCAGGUCAGCUGUUGCUCAGUAUGGCUUACCAUCUCGUAUGUUGUGUGAGAGUCCAAAUAAUGCUACCAAAACACAUAAAAUGUUAAAACAGAUAUGUGUAGUUGUUUUGACAAUUGUUCUGAUGUGAUGUAAGCUUGUGAGGCUAAUACAUGCUUCAGAAGAAGGUUCACAACAGUUCUUGUUUUUGCUGCUGUCAGGCUCAAAUUGUUGUGUGUGACAUUUAACAUGUAGCAGAAAUGUGGCGGCCUGUGAGUUGUUGUAAGAAGACAGUUUAAAGGUGAGAGUUGAGAGAGUGAAUUAAUGAAAUAGCUUAUUUUUAUGUGAAAGAUUCAAAAAUGAUGGUUCAGGUUUGUGCAUUUCUGCGACAACAAAAUGUUUCCACACUUGUGGAAGACUGUCUUUGGAGAACAGUUGUAAUAUAAAUGUUUGGAAGUUAAAGAAAAGAAUUGUCAGUUCUAUUAAAAAAAACCUUUUUAUUGGCACAUUGUUUUGAUGCUUUUAAAAGCUGUCAAACUAUUCAGCAUGCAAUAAAAGCAGUUUUAUAUCCCUU